Molecule: ribosomal RNA, 273 nt
Filed under: uncultured bacterium
Lineage: Bacteria
Description: partial 16S ribosomal RNA
Rfam family: Bacterial small subunit ribosomal RNA
Source: RNAcentral
UACAGAGGGUGCAAGCGUUGUUCGGAAUUAUUGGGCGUAAAGCGCGUGUAGGCGGCUUUGCAAGUCGGGUGUGAAAGCCCUGGGCUCAACCCAGGAAGUGCGCCCGAAACUGCAUUGCUUGAGUACCGGAGAGGGUAGCGGAAUUCCCCAAGUAGAGGUGAAAUUCGUAGAUAUGGGGAGGAACACCGGUGGCGAAGGCGGCUACCUGGACGGAUACUGACGCUGAGACGCGAAAGCGUGGGUAGCAAACAGGAUUAGAUACCCCCGUAGUCC